Ribosomal RNA from Mesocricetus auratus (golden hamster), 117 nucleotides. NCBI's taxonomy places the organism in Eukaryota, Metazoa, Chordata, Mammalia, Rodentia, Cricetidae. The record is from Ensembl.
GUCUACGCCCAUACCACUCUGAAUGUGCCCGAUCUCGACUGAUCUCAGAUGCUAAGCAGGGUUGGGCCUGGUUAGUACUUGGAUGGGAGAUUGAUUACAAAAGCAGUGUCAUGUACA